Molecule: ribosomal RNA, 854 nt
Filed under: uncultured bacterium
Lineage: Bacteria
Description: bacterial SSU rRNA
Rfam family: Bacterial small subunit ribosomal RNA
Source: RNAcentral
CAUGCAAGUCGAGGGGAAACGACAUCGAAAGCUUGCUUUUGAUGGGCGUCGACCGGCGCACGGGUGAGUAACGCGUAUCCAACCUGCCCACCACUUGGGGAUAACCUUGCGAAAGUAAGACUAAUACCCAAUGACGUCUCUAGAAGACAUCUGAAGGAGAUUAAAGAUUUAUCGGUGAUGGAUGGGGAUGCGUCUGAUUAGCUUGUUGGCGGGGUAACGGCCCACCAAGGCGACGAUCAGUAGGGGUUCUGAGAGGAAGGUCCCCCACAUUGGAACUGAGACACGGUCCAAACUCCUACGGGAGGCAGCAGUGAGGAAUAUUGGUCAAUGGACGAGAGUCUGAACCAGCCAAGUAGCGUGCAGGAUGACGGCCCUAUGGGUUGUAAACUGCUUUUAUAAGGGAAUAAAGUUAGUCUCGUGAGACUUUUUGCAUGUACCUUAUGAAUAAGGACCGGCUAAUUCCGUGCCAGCAGCCGCGGUAAUACGGAAGGUCCGGGCGUUAUCCGGAUUUAUUGGGUUUAAAGGGAGCGUAGGCCGGAGAUUAAGCGUGUUGUGAAAUGUAGACGCUCAACGUCUGCACUGCAGCGCGAACUGGUUUCCUUGAGUACGCACAAAGUGGGCGGAAUUCGUGGUGUAGCGGUGAAAUGCUUAGAUAUCACGAAGAACUCCGAUUGCGAAGGCAGCUCACUGGAGCGCAACUGACGCUGAAGCUCGAAAGUGCGGGUAUCGAACAGGAUUAGAUACCCUGGUAGUCCGCACGGUAAACGAUGGAUGCCCGCUGUUGGUCUGAAUAGGUCAGCGGCCAAGCGAAAGCAUUAAGCAUCCCACCUGGGGAGUACGCCGGCAACGGUGAA